RNAcentral lists this unclassified non-coding RNA (353 nucleotides) under soil metagenome. RNAcentral describes it as "partial contains 5.8S ribosomal RNA, internal transcribed spacer 2, and large subunit ribosomal RNA". The stretch from base 1 to 120 matches the Rfam family "5.8S ribosomal RNA", at positions 35 to 154 of the family's 154-position model. The record is from RNAcentral.
GAUUAAGAACGUAGUGAAAUGCGAUAAGUAAUGUGAAUUGCAGAAUUCAGUGAAUCAUCGAAUCUUUGAACGCACAUUGCGCCCGCCAGUAUUCUGGCGGGCAUGCCUGUUCGAGCGUCAUUACAACCCUCAGGCCCCCGGGCCUGGCGUUGGGGAUCGGCGAGGCGCCCCCCGCGGGCACGCGCCGUCCCCCAAAUACAGUGGCGGUCCCGCCGCAGCUUCCAUUGCGUAGUAGCUAACACCUCGCAACUGGAGAGCGGCGCGGCCAUGCCGUAAAACACCCAACUUCUGAAUGUUGACCUCGAAUCAGGUAGGAAUACCCGCUGAACUUAAGCAUAUCAAUAAGCGGAGGA